UUAAGCGACUAAGCGUACACGGUGGAUGCCUAGGCAGUCAGAGGCGAUGAAGGGCGUGCUAAUCUGCGAAAAGCGUCGGUAAGGUGAUAUGAACCGUUAUAACCGACGAUACCCGAAUGGGGAAACCCAGUGCAAUUCGUUGCACUAUUGCAUGGUGAAUACAUAGCCAUGCAAGGCGAACCGGGGGAACUGAAACAUCUAAGUACCCCGAGGAAAAGAAAUCAACCGAGAUUCCCCCAGUAGCGGCGAGCGAACGGGGAGGAGCCCAGAACCUGAAUCAGCAUAUGUGUUAGUGGAAGCGUCUGGAAAGUCGCACGGUACAGGGUGAUAGUCCCGUACACAAAAAUGCAUAUGUUGUGAGUUCGAUGAGUAGGGCGGGACACGUGACAUCCUGUCUGAAUAUGGGGGGACCAUCCUCCAAGGCUAAAUACUCCUGACUGACCGAUAGUGAACCAGUACCGUGAGGGAAAGGCGAAAAGAACCCCGGCGAGGGGAGUGAAAUAGAACCUGAAACCGUGUACGUACAAGCAGUGGGAGCACCUUCGUGGUGUGACUGCGUACCUUUUGUAUAAUGGGUCAGCGACUUAUAUUUUGUAGCAAGGUUAACCGAAUAGGGGAGCCGUAGGGAAACCGAGUCUUAACUGGGCGAAUAGUUGCAAGGUAUAGACCCGAAACCCGGUGAUCUAGCCAUGGGCAGGUUGAAGGUUGGGUAACACUAACUGGAGGACCGAACCGACUAAUGUUGAAAAAUUAGCGGAUGACUUGUGGCUGGGGGUGAAAGGCCAAUCAAACCGGGAGAUAGCUGGUUCUCCCCGAAAGCUAUUUAGGUAGCGCCUCGUGAACUCAUCUUCGGGGGUAGAGCACUGUUUCGGCUAGGGGGUCAUCCCGACUUACCAAACCGAUGCAAACUCCGAAUACCGAAGAAUGUUAUCACGGGAGACACACGGCGGGUGCUAACGUCCGUCGUGAAGAGGGAAACAACCCAGACCGCCAGCUAAGGUCCCAAAGUCAUGGUUAAGUGGGAAACGAUGUGGGAAGGCAUAGACAGCCAGGAUGUUGGCUUAGAAGCAGCCAUCAUUUAAAGAAAGCGUAAUAGCUCACUGGUCGAGUCGGCCUGCGCGGAAGAUGUAACGGGGCUAAACCAUGCACCGAAGCUGCGGCAGCGACACUUAGGUGUUGUUGGGUAGGGGAGCGUUCUGUAAGCCGUUGAAGGUGACCUGUGAGGGUUGCUGGAGGUAUCAGAAGUGCGAAUGCUGACAUAAGUAACGAUAAUGCGGGUGAAAAACCCGCACGCCGGAAGACCAAGGGUUCCUGUCCAACGUUAAUCGGGGCAGGGUGAGUCGACCCCUAAGGCGAGGCUGAAAAGCGUAGUCGAUGGGAAACAGGUUAAUAUUCCUGUACUUGGUGUUACUGCGAAGGGGGGACGGAGAAGGCUAGGCUAGCCGGGCGACGGUUGUCCCGGUUUAAGCAUGUAGGCGGAGUGACUUGGUAAAUCCGGUUGCUUAUCAACGCUGAGGUGUGAUGACGAGUCACUACGGUGAUGAAGUAGUUGAUGCCAAGCUUCCAGGAAAAGCCUCUAAGCAUCAGGUAACAUUAAAUCGUACCCCAAACCGACACAGGUGGUCAGGUAGAGAAUACUCAGGCGCUUGAGAGAACUCGGGUGAAGGAACUAGGCAAAAUGGUGCCGUAACUUCGGGAGAAGGCACGCUGGCAUUAGGUAAAGGGACUUGCUCCCGGAGCUGAAGCCAGUCGCAGAUACCAGCUGGCUGCAACUGUUUAAUAAAAACACAGCACUGUGCAAACACGAAAGUGGACGUAUACGGUGUGACGCCUGCCCGGUGCUGGAAGGUUAAUUGAUGGGGUCAGCCGCAAGGCGAAGCUCUUGAUCGAAGCCCCAGUAAACGGCGGCCGUAACUAUAACGGGCCUAAGGUAGCGAAAUUCCUUGUCGGGUAAGUUCCGACCUGCACGAAUGGCGUAAUGAUGGCCAGGCUGUCUCCACCCGAGACUCAGUGAAAUUGAACUCGCUGUGAAGAUGCAGUGUACCCGCGGCAAGACGGAAAGACCCCGUGAACCUUUACUAUAGCUUGACACUGAACAUUGAGCCUUGAUGUGUAGGAUAGGUGGGAGGCAUUGAAGUGUGGACGCCAGUCUGCAUGGAGCCAACCUUGAAAUACCACCCUUUAAUGUUUGAUGUUCUAACUCGGCCCCAUAAUCUGGGGUGAGGACAGUGUCUGGUGGGUAGUUUGACUGGGGCGGUCUCCUCCCAAAGAGUAACGGAGGAGCACGAAGGUUAGCUAAUCACGGUCGGACAUCGUGAGGUUAGUGCAAAGGCAUAAGCUAGCUUGACUGCGAGAGUGACGGCUCGAGCAGGUACGAAAGUAGGUCUUAGUGAUCCGGUGGUUCUGAAUGGAAGGGCCAUCGCUCAACGGAUAAAAGGUACUCCGGGGAUAACAGGCUGAUACCGCCCAAGAGUUCAUAUCGACGGCGGUGUUUGGCACCUCGAUGUCGGCUCAUCACAUCCUGGGGCUGAAGUAGGUCCCAAGGGUAUGGCUGUUCGCCAUUUAAAGUGGUACGCGAGCUGGGUUUAGAACGUCGUGAGACAGUUCGGUCCCUAUCUGCCGUGGGCGUUGGAAGAUUGAGAGGGGCUGCUCCUAGUACGAGAGGACCGGAGUGGACGAAUCACUGGUGUUCGGGUUGUCAUGCCAAUGGAUUGCCCGGUAGCUAAAUUCGGAAGAGAUAACCGCUGAAAGCAUCUAAGCGGGAAACUUGCCUCGAGAUGAGUCUUCCCUGGGGCUUUAAGCCCCCUGAAGGAACGUUAAAGACUAUGACGUUGAUAGGCUGGGUGUGUAAGUGCAGCGAUGCAUUGAGCUAACCAGUACUAAUGAUCCGUGAGGCUUAACCUU
This 2904-nucleotide ribosomal RNA is filed under the name Yersinia enterocolitica. RNAcentral describes it as "bacterial LSU rRNA". It matches the Rfam family "Bacterial large subunit ribosomal RNA". The record is from RNAcentral. Lineage: Bacteria; Pseudomonadati; Pseudomonadota; Gammaproteobacteria; Enterobacterales; Yersiniaceae.